UGGGGAAUCUUGCACAAUGGGGGAAACCCUGAUGCAGCGACGCCGCGUGAACGAUGAAGCCCUUCGGGGUGUAAAGUUCUUUCGACAGGAACGAUAAUGACGGUACCUGGAGAAGAAGCUGCGGCUAACUACGCGCCAGCAGCCGCGGUAAUACGUAGGCAGCGAGCGUUGUUCGGAGUUACUGGGCGUAAAGAGUGCGUAGGCGGCGAGCCAAGUUUGGUGUGAAAUCUCCCGGCUUAACCGGGAGGGUGCGCCGAAAACUGGUUGGCUGGAGUAUGGGAGAGGAAAGCGGAAUGCCCGGUGUAGCGGUGAAAUGCGUAGAUAUCAGGAGGAACACCUGCGGUGUAGACAGCUUUCUGGACCAAAACUGACGCUGAGGCACGAAAGCGUGGGUAGCAAACA
This 402-nucleotide ribosomal RNA is filed under the name uncultured bacterium. Its description in RNAcentral is "bacterial SSU rRNA". It matches the Rfam family "Bacterial small subunit ribosomal RNA", at positions 355 to 774 of the family's 1533-position model. The record is from RNAcentral.